This 442-nucleotide ribosomal RNA is filed under the name uncultured archaeon. RNAcentral's name for it is "bacterial SSU rRNA". It matches the Rfam family "Archaeal small subunit ribosomal RNA", at positions 91 to 534 of the family's 1478-position model. The record is from RNAcentral.
CAGUAACACGUGGAUAAUCUGCCCUUAGGUGGAGGAUAAUCUCGGGAAACUGAGGAUAAUACUCCAUAGAUCUAGGAUGCUGGAAUGCACUUAGAUUAAAAGUCCCGACGCCUAAGGAUGAGUCUGCGGACUAUCAGGUAGUAGUCAGGGUAAAGACCUGACUAGCCUACGACGGAUACGGGUUGUGAGAGCAAUAACCCGGAGACGAUAUCUGAGACACGAUAUCGGGCCCUACGGGGCGCAGCAGGCGCGAAAACUUCACACUGUGCGGAAGCACGAUGAGGGAAUCCCAAGUGCUUGCUCGUAAGAGUAAGCUGUUUUUAUGUUUAAAAAGCAUAGAGAGUAAGGGCUGGGUAAGACGGGUGCCAGCCGCCGCGGUAAUACCUGCAGCUCAAGUGGUGACCACUAUUAUUGGGCCUAAAACGUUCGUAGCCGGUUUAUU